Molecule: ribosomal RNA, 209 nt
Filed under: uncultured bacterium
Lineage: Bacteria
Description: partial 16S ribosomal RNA
Rfam family: Bacterial small subunit ribosomal RNA
Source: RNAcentral
UACGAAGGGGGGCUAGCGUUGUUCGGAAUCACUGGGCGUAAAGGGCGCGCAGGCGGUUCUGUUUGUCGAGUGUGAAAGCCCCGGGCUCAACCUGGGAACUGCGCUCGAAACGGCGGAACUAGAGUUCGGGAGAGGAGAGUGGAAUUCCCAGUGUAGAGGUGAAAUUCGUAGAUAUUGGGAAGAACACCGGGUGGCGAAGGCGGCUACUC